Molecule: ribosomal RNA, 373 nt
Filed under: uncultured Scutellospora
Lineage: Eukaryota; Fungi; Glomeromycota; Glomeromycetes; Diversisporales; Gigasporaceae
Description: partial 28S ribosomal RNA
Source: RNAcentral
GAGAGUUAAAUAGUACGUGAAAUUGUUGAAAGGGAAACGAUUGAAGUCAGUCAUGCCGGUGAGAAUCAACUUUGGGGAAGGGGGAUUUUUUUGAACCUAACCUUGAAGUGCACUUCUUCGCUUGGCAGGUUAGCGUCGAUUUUAAACGUCAUAAAAUGAUUGGGGGAAGGUAGCUCUUUCGGGAGUGUUAUAGCCCUUAAUUAAUGUGAUAUUUGGGAUCGAGGAUUGCAACGGAUACCUUUUAGGGCUAGCCGCCUGGCCUCUGAUUCGAUGUUGGGUUAUAGACAGCACGCUGACUAUGAUCUGAUUAUUGGUCAAAAGGUUAGAGCGAGCAUAAAUUCGUUAAGGACGCUGACGUAAUGGCUUUAAACGA